RNAcentral lists this ribosomal RNA (406 nucleotides) under uncultured bacterium. RNAcentral describes it as "partial 16S ribosomal RNA". It matches the Rfam family "Bacterial small subunit ribosomal RNA", at positions 30 to 526 of the family's 1533-position model. The record is from RNAcentral.
AUUGAACGCUGGCGGCAGGCCUAACACAUGCAAGUCGAGCUAGCGGCGGACGGGUGAGUAAUGUCUGGGCAACUGCCUGAUGGCGGGGGAUAACUCCUGGAAACGGUAGCUAAUACCUCAUACCAUCAGCUUUGCCCACAUGGGAUUCGCUAGUGGGUGGGGUAACGGCUCACCUAGGCGACGAUCCCUAGCUGGUCUGAGAGGAUGACCAGCCACACUGGAACUGAGACACGGUCCAGACUCCUACGGGAGGCAGCAGUGGGGAAUAUUGCACAAGGGGCGCAAGCCUGAUGCAGCCAUGCCGCGUGUGUGAAGAAGGCCUUCGGGUUGUAAAGCACUUUCAGCGGGGAGGCGUUACCCGCAGAAGAAGCACCGGCUAACUCCGUGCCAGCCGCCGCGGUAAUUC